Molecule: ribosomal RNA, 1064 nt
Filed under: Heyndrickxia coagulans
Lineage: Bacteria; Bacillati; Bacillota; Bacilli; Caryophanales; Bacillaceae
Description: bacterial SSU rRNA
Rfam family: Bacterial small subunit ribosomal RNA
Source: RNAcentral
GGCAUCUUGCGGGGUGCUAUACAUGCAAGUCGUGCGGACCUUUUAAAAGCUUGCUUUUAAAAGGUUAGCGGCGGACGGGUGAGUAACACGUGGGCAACCUGCCUGUAAGAUCGGGAUAACGCCGGGAAACCGGGGCUAAUACCGGAUAGUUUUUUCCUCCGCAUGGAGGAAAAAGGAAAGACGGCUUUUGCUGUCACUUACAGAUGGGCCCGCGGCGCAUUAGCUAGUUGGUGGGGUAACGGCUCACCAAGGCAACGAUGCGUAGCCGACCUGAGAGGGUGAUCGGCCACAUUGGGACUGAGACACGGCCCAAACUCCUACGGGAGGCAGCAGUAGGGAAUCUUCCGCAAUGGACGAAAGUCUGACGGAGCAACGCCGCGUGAGUGAAGAAGGCCUUCGGGUCGUAAAACUCUGUUGCCGGGGAAGAACAAGUGCCGUUCGAACAGGGCGGCGCCUUGACGGUACCCGGCCAGAAAGCCACGGCUAACUACGUGCCAGCAGCCGCGGUAAUACGUAGGUGGCAAGCGUUGUCCGGAAUUAUUGGGCGUAAAGCGCGCGCAGGCGGCUUCUUAAGUCUGAUGUGAAAUCUUGCGGCUCAACCGCAAGCGGUCAUUGGAAACUGGGAGGCUUGAGUGCAGAAGAGGAGAGUGGAAUUCCACGUGUAGCGGUGAAAUGCGUAGAGAUGUGGAGGAACACCAGUGGCGAAGGCGGCUCUCUGGUCUGUAACUGACGCUGAGGCGCGAAAGCGUGGGGAGCAAACAGGAUUAGAUACCCUGGUAGUCCACGCCGUAAACGAUGAGUGCUAAGUGUUAGAGGGUUUCCGCCCUUUAGUGCUGCAGCUAACGCAUUAAGCACUCCGCCUGGGGAGUACGGCCGCAAGGCUGAAACUCAAAGGAAUUGACGGGGGCCCGCACAAGCGGUGGAGCAUGUGGUUUAAUUCGAAGCAACGCGAAGAACCUUACCAGGUCUUGACAUCCUCUGACCUCCCUGGAGACAGGGCCUUCUCCUUCGGGGGACAGAGUGACAGGUGGUGCAUGGUUGUCGUCAGCUCGUGUCGUGAGAUG